RNAcentral lists this long non-coding RNA (2249 nucleotides) under Arabidopsis thaliana (thale cress). Its description in RNAcentral is "long non-coding RNA (ATHA_LNC000689)". Lineage: Eukaryota; Viridiplantae; Streptophyta; Magnoliopsida; Brassicales; Brassicaceae. The record is from RNAcentral.
CCUCUUUAAUGGUUGCAGCUCGAGCUCCUUCAUUUGCAGAGAAUAGCUUCUGAAAAUACUCGGAGAUAACAUUGAGGAUCCCUGCCUCUUCAUACUCAGGUACUCCAUCCUCCUUUUCUAUCACUGAGAACUUAUUUAUCACCGUUCUACCUCUAGUGAUGGCAUGGAAGUAACCCGAAUUUUUAUCUCCUAAGGCAAGCCAUAACUGUCUGCUUCUCUGCUUCCAAUACUCUUCCUCUGCCUUGUAUGCUAAGAGCAAAUUAGUAUUGAUAGUCGAUAACAGCUCUUGAUUGUGAUCUUGACUAGACAUUGCCUCUUCAAGUUUUUGACGAUUUUCCUCAAUAAGUUUUUGACUACUUUGCUGCUUAGCCCUAGACCACUUAACAAUUUCCAAACGACAUCUGCUAAUUUUUUCCUCCACAAUGUCUGUAUCAUAAAGAUUCCAGGCCUCUUGAACAAGGGCUGUGACUUCAUCGUUGUUUUUUAGACGCCUAUCGUAACGAAACACUCCUUUUUUCUUUUUCUUUGACAGGUCAAAGUGGGUAAGAAGUGGUCUGUGGUCUGACCCUUCAAAGCAAAGGUAAAUGCAUCUACUAGCAGGAUAAUCUUCAGCCCACGCUCCAUUGGACAAUGCACGAUCAAGCCUGCAAUGCACAACAUGAUCAUGUCUCUUUCCACGCCAAGAUAAGAAAUUCCCUGAAUGUCUUAAAUCAUACAAAUCACAUUCCGCCAUAAAUGAUCUAAUGUCCACAAAAGUUCCUUCAUAUCUUGCAGGUCCUCCUUGUUUUUCAGAAGAAUCUAUGAUAUAAUUGAAUUCUCAGUAAGAUACCAGGGUUCACUUCUAUCUUUCCCUAAACUGGUAAGCUGAUCCCAUAUAGCUUUCCGCUUUGAUCUGUCUGGUUCCCCAUAGAUGAAAGUAGCAAAGAAGUGUUUACCCGCCGCCUUAAUCUUUGUGUCAAUAAAGUUGUUGCAGGAAUAAAGGAUUGUCACUUCUACUUCAUGUUUCCAGAGAAGGGCCAGACCACCACCUCCUGGGCUAUGCGGGGGAACAAGGUGAUGUGCAGAAAAAUUCAUCCAGUUUAAAGAGGUGAGGGUUGUCUCAUUGGGGUUCUUGGUUUCCAUAAGGAACAGAAUUUCUGGUGAGAUUGAAGAAUGCAUCUCACGCAGCCGUUGUACUGUUGUGGGGCUCCCCAAUCCACAACAGUUCCAGCUCAGAACUUUUAAGGAAUCUGAUUUGGUAGAUGGUGAAAAUCCACCUUAUCUUUCACUCUUGCAGGUAUAAUAGUUACUCGUGGAGUAGGUUGACUUGAGGAAGGGUUGGAGGCUCCAGGUUGGAGGAGAAGCUUUUGCUUUGUUUUCGUGGUUCUGCUAGGGCCAGCAGAUUCUUGUAUGUGAGCUUCAUUCUUCUCAGGUGUGGAUUUCCUUUUAGGGGAGUUCUGGAUAAGUCCCUUUCUUUUGCUUGAUUUUGCUCCCAGCAAUGGUAAAGCAGCUUUGUUUUGGGGUUUAGCUAAAGGUGGACGUCCUCUUUUCUUUUUUGCAGGAGCAACACAGCUUGUAGUCUGAUCAGCCGGAUGACUUUGUAGGUCUUGGUACUGAGAGAGAUUAUCUUGUGUUGGAAGAUCUUCAGAGGCAAGGUAAUUUUGGUUUGAGAUGAGUGCAGCUUCCAGCAUUAUAGAAGCUGUUUCUGCCAUGAGUCCUUUUUCUUCUCCUUGAAAAACUCUUCGUUUUCUUGCAGCGCUUUCAGUUGGGUGUGCACAACUAACAUAUUGCAGAGUGACGUCUCUAAGCUCUCCCAUGAUUUGGUCAUUAGUAGGGAUGGGAGGAGGAGGUGGUGGAGUAACCUCAUAAGAAUCCAGGUUUCUCUCCAACGGGGGACGUCUUGUUCUCGAAGUUUCAGAGCUAUCAUUUCUAGGACUGAGUCUAUGUGUGGCUCUAACCCUCCAUUGAGGAGUCUGAGAAGAAUCUCUUCUUGGCCCCUCUCUAAUAGGAUCCUGAUAUCUUGAGGUACCCCUUUUGUCUCCUGUCUCAUGGCGACCUAAAUUCCUUCUGUUAGGGUUAAAAGGAUUUCUGUGUCUUCUCUCCUCAUAGGGUCCAGCUCGGCGAGAUAGAUGUUCUCUAGAAGUUGAGGUCUACUCCUCUUACUUUUCCAAGAUCUUGAGAACGACUUUGAUUAAUAGAAGGGUUUCUUGAAGGCGCUCUUGAGGGAGAUGAUUCUCUUAGAGAUCUAGGGGCUAUGAAAUUGUCUCUAG